AACGAACGUUGGCGGCGUGGAUUAGGCAUGCAAGUCGUACGGACCUGGGGGCAACUCCAGGUUAGUGGCGAACGGGUGAGUAACGCGUGGGAAACGUGCCCUCGAGACGGGGAUAACACUUCCAACGGAGUGCUAAUACCGGAUAAGACCACGGAGUCGCAUGGCUCUGCGGUCAAAGGUGGCCUCUACUUGUAAGCUACCGCUUGAGGAUCGUCCCGCGUCCCAUUAGCUAGUUGGUAGGGUAACGGCCUACCAAGGCGACGAUGGGUAGCUGGUCUGAGAGGAUGGUCAGCCACACUGGGACUGAGAUACGGCCCAGACUCCUACGGGUGGCAG
This 336-nucleotide ribosomal RNA is filed under the name uncultured Latescibacterota bacterium. RNAcentral's name for it is "bacterial SSU rRNA". It matches the Rfam family "Bacterial small subunit ribosomal RNA", at positions 29 to 351 of the family's 1533-position model. The record is from RNAcentral. Lineage: Bacteria; Pseudomonadati; Candidatus Latescibacterota.